Molecule: long non-coding RNA, 416 nt
Organism: Camelina sativa (false flax)
Lineage: Eukaryota; Viridiplantae; Streptophyta; Magnoliopsida; Brassicales; Brassicaceae
Source: RefSeq, a predicted model, not a curated record
AUCUUUCUUAGGCCCCUUCUUCCCUUUCAAGAGUCCACCACCCGCCUUAGUAGUCUCAAAUAGGGCGUGUAUCAUCUCCUCCGCCGCUCCUCACUUGUAAAAACCUAAACACGAUAGUAAUCCGAGGAACGAAGAAGGGUACAGCUUCAGGGAAACCAGCAUGAGAGCCAAGUGGAAGAAGAAGCGUAUGAGGAGAUUAAAGAGGAAGAGACGAAAGAUGAGACAGCGAUCUAAGUAGAAGAUUUGGGAGUUGUUUCGUGUCUUUUCUUCUUUUUAGAAUCAACUCUUGUGGGAGUUUUGUUGGUUUUGCUAUUUGAAUGUUUUGUUGUUGGACCAAAUCGAAUCUUUGUUUUCUAUUAGAAUUAUGUUUCUUACAUGGAAUGAUCCACAUGAGUUCCUGAUUCUCAUUUCUCCUU